AUGCACCAGUUUGUAAACUGCUUCAGAAAAAUCACUGAGCUGGUGACAAACAGCUGCAGACGGAGACGAGAUAGCAGAGCAACUAGCAACAUGUCUGUCCAGUCAUCACUUACAGGAAACAUCCGGGGAGAGAGAAGUUUAAUAACGAAGAACCGCAGCUGGAAUCCAACAAGGGAUGCAGCAGUCACGUGGCAACCACUAGGCAACAGGUACACCCCUGUAGCAGCACUUGUUUGGCUUUGUCCAUUUGCUGACUGCUGCUCUUCUGUGUGGCUCCUUAAAUCAAAUAGUGAUAAAUAAGUGGUUGUAAGCUGACUCAUUGCCACUUCAGGUAGUGUUUGCUGUGGGCCUUAGGGUUUCAGAGGCGGUGCUGGAGUAGGAAGGAGAGCACUUGAGUUCGCCGGUCAGUCAGGAGAGCUGUGUGGGCGACGACAAUGGUCAACAAGGAAAUCAAAAGGAGUAAAUAUUGCAGAUAAUCACAGAAUGGAGACAUAAAGGGCCCGGGGAUGGCAGUCGCAAACGUGGGGUCAGAGGUCACCGUGGAGACGCAAGGGGAGGCGGGCGGGGCUUAUUGUGCCCGGCCUGGCUGAGUGAAGGACGGGCUGAAUAGGGAUUAACCCCACCCUGGUGCCUCUCAAUGCCCCCACCCCAGGGCCUGGGGAAGGUUCCCAUGUGACACCAUCUCCACCUUUAUGUGGGCCUCAUAGCAGCCUCGUCACAACUCCUUUACUCCUCGUAUGCACACGUUCACAUAUGCAUCUUACAGCACCGUGGAGCGAGAGGAAAGAAUUCUAGUGGUGGGAAUGAGGAGUUUUUCCAAUUUUGGAUGAGCACCAAAAUGUGCAUAAUGAGACUGGAGCAUGCUCAAGUCUCUCAGACACACACACACACACACACACACACACAAUGACGUGGGGUGUAGUGGAAGGGGAUAGUUUUCUUUACUCAUUGAAAUCUGCCCCCACUUCACCUCAGUGAAGGAGACUGAAGUCACACACUAAAGCGUGUGCGUUCUCUCACACGCUGGCUCGUACUGUUGCCUUUGAUAGUGUCCAAAGUGACAGACGUGUUGUCUGAUGGUCGUCUAGUCCCCAGAGACAGAGAAAGCGUUCAUAAUUCUCUAUUCAUUUCAUCUUUUUAGCAUUUGAACAAUUAUUUUCCUUGACUUAGAUUGUGAUUUUAAAUGUUUAGAUAUAUCUUGUUUUUUCUGCAGUCGGUAGAAAUGAAUUUUUUGUUUAAUGCUUUCAUGAUAUACCACUAAUCCAAGUAAUAUAUCCUCAUAUAAUCAGUAUUUAUUUAUUUAUUUAUUAUUUCUAAAAGUUCAGACAAGUCAUGUCAUUUCUCGUCAUUUCCCUUAAAUGUUGCAGUGUCAUUACAUCGCCACUAGAAGGCAAUAUCAUUGUGCUGCAGCAGCUCAGUUUGGGCCUUGAGAAGUACACAAUGGACCAUUUCCCAAGAUCCUUUAAUUCAUUACUCAAACAAAAAUGGAACAAUAGCAACACAUGAUAGCACAGGUAUCAA
This 1521-nucleotide long non-coding RNA is filed under the name Scophthalmus maximus (turbot). Its description in RNAcentral is "lncRNA (ENSSMAG00000037791.1)". Lineage: Eukaryota; Metazoa; Chordata; Actinopteri; Pleuronectiformes; Scophthalmidae. The record is from RNAcentral.